UUUGGGAAGACUGAUUUGAGUAAAAUGCCUGAUUCUCCUGUGUGGCCAGUCUCGUGUCAAUUAAACUCUCUACUACAAUGCCAUGGUGUCAAUGCAUCUUGUCUGUGCAGUGCGCAGAAAGAACCCACUGGCAAUUACAUUACCAGUAGCUAUCGCUCUUCUGUCCUUCAAACAGGAAAUACUUCAACCCUGGAUGUCUAUGUUAUCUCACUUUAUCUGUACAGCAAUCCUGUCCUCCAGUGACUAUAUUGCAAUGAGUUAAGAAGAGAGUUUCAGAAAGAUAACAUGCCUGGCCAAGGGCUGAGUCACCAAACUACAGCCUACAUUCCAAAAACGUCACACUGAGUGUUUUUGUCAAUAAAGUUUUAUUGAAACACAGUCAUGCUUAUUUGUGUAUUAGUGGCUGUUUCCACACCAUGAUGGCAAGAGUUGGUAAUUUUUUUUUUUUUUUUAACAGAGUCUUGCUCUGUCACCCAGGCUAGAGUGCAGUGUGAUCUCGGCUCACUGCAGCCUUCACCUCUCAGGCUCAUGUGAUUCUCCUGCCUCAGCCUCAUGAGUAGCCAGGAUUGCAGGUGUGUGCCACC
Molecule: long non-coding RNA, 584 nt
Filed under: Homo sapiens (human)
Lineage: Eukaryota; Metazoa; Chordata; Mammalia; Primates; Hominidae
Description: HSALNT0180600
Source: RNAcentral